Molecule: ribosomal RNA, 318 nt
Filed under: uncultured Bacteroidota bacterium
Lineage: Bacteria; Pseudomonadati; Bacteroidota
Description: bacterial SSU rRNA
Rfam family: Bacterial small subunit ribosomal RNA
Source: RNAcentral
GAUGAACGCUAGCGGCAGGCUUAACACAUGCAAGUCGAGGGGUAUGGUAGCAAUACCAGAGACCGGCGCACGGGUGCGUAACGCGUAUGCAAUCUACCUUUCACAGAGGGAUAGCCCAGAGAAAUUUGGAUUAAUACCUCAUAGUAUGCAGGAAUGGCAUCAUUUCUACAUUAAAGUCACAACGGUGAAAGAUGAGCAUGCGUCCCAUUAGCUAGUUGGUAUGGUAACGGCAUACCAAGGCGACGAUGGGUAGGGGUCCUGAGAGGGAGAUCCCCCACACUGGUACUGAGACACGGACCAGACUCCUACGGGAGGCAG